RNAcentral lists this long non-coding RNA (826 nucleotides) under Rattus norvegicus (Norway rat). RNAcentral's name for it is "long non-coding RNA NONRATT013136". Lineage: Eukaryota; Metazoa; Chordata; Mammalia; Rodentia; Muridae. The record is from RNAcentral.
GACAAACUGCCUGUUCUCAUCACUGAUACUUUAUUUCGUUUAUAUUUGAAUUACCAAUCCGGGGGAGAAAGUAUCGUCCUAUGAAAACUUCCCAUUUUCUUCCCUAUGUACCUCUGGUGUAUUUAAUCAUAAUCUCUAUCUAAACUCCAAAGUCUGUGACUUCAUUAUAAAACUUUUUUAAUGACCUAAAGAAAUUUAGAUUCUCAGUAGGUAUAUUAGGUUUUAAUUUAAUUUAACUUGAAGAUAAAUAAAUACUAACUUCAUUGUAUUAAAUGAGUUCCUCUUCUCUCUUGAAAAUUGUUAUCUCUGUCCCUUUAACCAACAUUAAAUAUAAACCCCUGAGUCCCUUAGCGCCCUUCAUAGAGCCCACGAAAGAAAAUGGAAAGUAAUCUUCCGGAAGUUACUUCUUACCAUCUCAAAUACAAGGCUGGGUAAUGUGGACAGUAUUUUAUUAACAUGAUAAUCCAAACUGGUCAUGCUUUGUGUUAAAUGAAGUUAAUAAACUCUUGGUUUCUUUUAGGGCAUUGAAAACAUAAAGAAUUCAAUUGAAGAUGCAAACGAGCCUUUGAUAGACCCUGUGUACGGGCAUGGCAGCCAAAGCUUAAUAAACCUCCUCCUGACGGGGCACGCGGUCUCUAACGUGUGGGAUGGCGAUAGAGAGUGCUCAGGAAUGCAACUUCUCGGUAUCCAUGAACAAGCAACUGUAGGAUUCUUAACACUAAUGGAAGCUUUACGCUAUUGUAAGGUUGGUUCUUACUUGAAAUCUCCAAAAUUCCCUAUUUGGAUUGUUGGCAGCGAAACUCACCUCACCGUAUUUUUUGCCAAG